CUAGCUGUAAACGAUGGAUACUAGGCGUUGAGAGUAUCGACCCUCUCAGUGUCGUAGCUAACGCGUUAAGUAUCCCGCCUGGGGAGUACGCGCGCAAGCGUGAAACUCAAAGGGAAUUGACGGGGGCCCGCACAAGCGGUGGAGUAUGUGGUUUAAUUCGAUGCAACGCGAAGAACCUUACCAGGGCUUGACAUGUCCGGAACCCUGCCCAAAGGCGGGGGUGCCUACGGGAACCGGAACACAGGUGGUGC
This 251-nucleotide ribosomal RNA is filed under the name uncultured Chroococcidiopsis sp. RNAcentral describes it as "partial 16S ribosomal RNA". It matches the Rfam family "Bacterial small subunit ribosomal RNA", at positions 796 to 1044 of the family's 1533-position model. Lineage: Bacteria; Bacillati; Cyanobacteriota; Cyanophyceae; Chroococcidiopsidales; Chroococcidiopsidaceae. The record is from RNAcentral.